UACGUAGGAUGCAAGCGUUGUUCGGAAUUACUGGGCGUAAAGCGCACGUAGGCGGGUUUGUAAGUAGGGGGUGAAAUCCCAGGGCUCAACCCUGUAACUGCCUUCUAGACUGCAAGCCUGGAGGUCAGGAGAGGCGAGUAGAAUACCGAGUGUAGAGGUGAAAUUCGUAGAUAUUCGGUGGAACACCAGUGGCGAAGGCGACUCGCUGGACUGAUACUGACGCUGAGGUGCGAAAGCGUGGGGAGCAAACAGG
This 253-nucleotide ribosomal RNA is filed under the name uncultured bacterium. RNAcentral's name for it is "partial 16S ribosomal RNA". It matches the Rfam family "Bacterial small subunit ribosomal RNA", at positions 524 to 776 of the family's 1533-position model. The record is from RNAcentral.